Molecule: unclassified non-coding RNA, 500 nt
Filed under: uncultured Glomus
Lineage: Eukaryota; Fungi; Glomeromycota; Glomeromycetes; Glomerales; Glomeraceae
Description: SSU rRNA
Rfam family: Eukaryotic small subunit ribosomal RNA
Source: RNAcentral
CCAAUAGCGUAUAUUAAAGUUGUUGCAGUUAAAAAGCUCGUAGUUGAAUUUCGGGGUUAGUAGAUUGGUCAUGCCUCUGGUAUGCACUGGUCUCACUGAUUCCUCCUUCCUGAUGAGCCGUAAUGCCAUUAAUUUGGUGUUGCGGGGAAUUUGGACUGUUACUUUGAAAAAAUUAGAGUGUUUAAAGCAAGCUAACGCUUGAAUACAUUAGCAUGGAAUAAUGAAAUAGGACGUUCGAUCCUAUUUUGUUGGUUUCUAGGAUUGACGUAAUGAUUAAUAGGGAUAGUUUGGGGCAUUAGUAUUCAAUUGUCAGAGGUGAAAUUCUUGGAUUUAUUGAAGACUAACUACUGCGAAAGCAUUUGCCAAGGAUGUUUUCAUUAAUCAAGAACGAAAGUUAGGGGAUCGAAGACGAUCAGAUACCGUCGUAGUCUUAACCAUAAACUAUGCCGACUAGGGAUCGGAUGAUGUUAAUUUUUUAAUGACUCAUUCGGCGCCUUACG